Molecule: transfer RNA, 28 nt
Filed under: Cissus verticillata
Lineage: Eukaryota; Viridiplantae; Streptophyta; Magnoliopsida; Vitales; Vitaceae
Also listed under: 2 other names
Description: partial tRNA-His
Source: RNAcentral
CGGAUGUAGCCNAGUGGAUCAAGGCAGU